RNAcentral lists this ribosomal RNA (479 nucleotides) under uncultured bacterium. RNAcentral's name for it is "partial 16S ribosomal RNA". It matches the Rfam family "Bacterial small subunit ribosomal RNA", at positions 28 to 507 of the family's 1533-position model. The record is from RNAcentral.
GAUGAACGCUAGCGGGAGGCCUAACACAUGCAAGCCGAGCGGUAUUUGUUCUUCGGAACAGAGAGAGCGGCGCACGGGUGCGGAACACGUGUGCAACCUGCCUUUAUCUGGGGGAUAGCCUUUCGAAAGGAAGAUUAAUACCCCAUAAUAUAUUGAGUGGCAUCAUUUGAUAUUGAAAACUCCGGUGGAUAGAGAUGGGCACGCGCAAGAUUAGAUAGUUGGUGAGGUAACGGCUCACCAAGUCAAUGAUCUUUAGGGGGCCUGAGAGGGUGAUCCCCCACACUGGUACUGAGACACGGACCAGACUCCUACGGGAGGCAGCAGUGAGGAAUAUUGGACAAUGGGUUAGCGCCUGAUCCAGCCAUCACGCGUGAAGGACGACGGCCCUAUGGGUUGUAAACUUCUUUUGUAUAGGGAUAAACCUACUCUCGUGAGAGUAGCUGAAGGUACUAUACGAAUAAGCACCGGCUAACUCCGUG